This 253-nucleotide ribosomal RNA is filed under the name uncultured bacterium. Its description in RNAcentral is "partial 16S ribosomal RNA". It matches the Rfam family "Bacterial small subunit ribosomal RNA", at positions 524 to 776 of the family's 1533-position model. The record is from RNAcentral.
GACGAACCGUGCGAACGUUGUUCGGAAUCACUGGGCUUAAAGGGCGCGUAGGCGGGUUCGCAAGUCUGUAGUGAAAGCCUCCAGCUUAACUGGAGAAGUGCCAUGGAUACUGCGCAUCUUGAGGAGGGUAGGGGCGUCUGGAACGGUCGGUGGAGCGGUGAAAUGCGUUGAUAUCGACCGGAACUCCGGUGGCGAAGGCGAGGCGCUGGACCCUUUCUGACGCUGAGGCGCGAAGGCCAGGGGAGCAAACGGG